AUUGAACGCUGGCGGCAGGCCUAACACAUGCAAGUCGAGCGGUAGCACAGAGAGCUUGCUCUCGGGUGACGAGCGGCGGACGGGUGAGUAAUGUCUGGGAAACUGCCUGAUGGCGGGGGAUAACUACUGGAAACGGUAGCUAAUACCGCAUAACGUCGCAAGACCACAGUGGGAGACCUUCGGGCCUCAUGCCAUCAGAUGUGCCCAGAUGGGAUUAGCUAGUAGGUGGGGUAACGGCUCACCUAGGCGACGAUCCCUAGCUGGUCUGAGAGGAUGACCAGCCACACUGGAACUGAGACACGGUCCAGACUCCUACGGGAGGCAGCAGUGGGGAAUAUUGCACAAUGGGCGCAAGCCUGAUGCAGCCAUGCCGCGUGUGUGAAGAAGGCCUUCGGGUUGUAAAGCACUUUCAGCGGGGAGGAAGGCGGUGAGGUUAAUAACCUCAUCGAUUGACGUUACCCGCAGAAGAAGCACCGGCUAACUCCGUGCCAGCCGCCGCAGUAA
This 504-nucleotide ribosomal RNA is filed under the name uncultured bacterium. RNAcentral describes it as "partial 16S ribosomal RNA". It matches the Rfam family "Bacterial small subunit ribosomal RNA", at positions 30 to 523 of the family's 1533-position model. The record is from RNAcentral.